Molecule: non-coding RNA, 83 nt
Organism: Schistocephalus solidus
Lineage: Eukaryota; Metazoa; Platyhelminthes; Cestoda; Diphyllobothriidea; Diphyllobothriidae
Source: Rfam
AGCCUCGUAGCUGAGUUGGCUAGAGCGUUGGCUGUAUUUACGCCUUUCCCUUGCUGACGUGGGUUCAAAUCCCACAGAGGCCA